RNA transcript from Medicago truncatula (barrel medic), 1260 nucleotides. RefSeq lists it as uncharacterized. NCBI's taxonomy places the organism in Eukaryota, Viridiplantae, Streptophyta, Magnoliopsida, Fabales, Fabaceae. The transcript is spliced from 4 exons. The record is from RefSeq and is a predicted model, not a curated record.
ACAUCUAGGUUAAGAUGCCGUCACACACAGCACUCACCUUUCUCGUUGCAACUCUCAAAACCCUACCAUUCUGACACUGUUCACUCACUCAACAUCUUCCUACAAAUGAGUAAUACCAAAAACCACUACUCAGUUGUUAGUUCCCUUUCACAUCAUAUGGACAGGAAAAGUUCAGAACUUUCUACCAUGAAUUUUGCCUAUUCUCUGUUCAACAAGAUUCGGAAGGUGGGAUAUCAUCAGCCUGAUGUGGUAACCUUCAAUACACUUUUGAAAGGUCUUUGUCUUAACGGUGAUACUAAUUGACAGAGAGGAGUGACUUGUGGACACUUUAACAAGAUGAAUGGGUGUCAUGCUUCGUGAUAAAUGUCUGGGUCAAUUGCUUGAACUGGAAUCAACCAAAUGAAAAAAUAACAAGACUGGUUACACCAUUCUUCAAUUAUGUUGACAUGGAAAGACGUGAUGCCUUAUAUAUAACGAAACCAAUUGCAUGCAAAAGAUUCAUCGAGAGACUGAAAAAGUUCAAAUACAUGGAUUGGAAGGCUAUUGACCCUACAAGUCUAGAAUAUAUCAUGACGCCAGCACUAAUUGGGAAUCCGGGUAGUCAUUAUGUAUGCUUUGUUGUGAAUCUCAAAAGCCAAAAAUUACAAUUCAUGAACAGCUUGAUCGGAGAGACAUUGCACAAAAAGAUGUUUGAUGUAUGGCUGAAGGAGGUGGAAGCAUUUGUGACAGAAUUAUAUAAGAAAAGAAAAAUCACAAUGUCUUUCCAAUUUAGCACAUUUAAGUGAGAAACACCAAGGGUGCCUACUCAAACUGAUAAAGACAAUUGUGGAGUCUUUUGCAUGAAGUUUCUUGCUGAAUGGGAGGGUGACAAUACCCAAAUGGAAUCUUUCAAAAAUUGGUCCAAAAUGAGAAAGCAUGGGAAGAAUGGCAAGAUUGAAAAAAUUGUGGAUUUGAGAAUUGGAAUCGCUUCCACAAUAUUAAUCGACUCAAGCAAUUGCAAAAGAAACUAUAUGGAGAAGGCAGCAACUUCAUACUAUGAAGAAAUGCUUCAAAAGCUAGCACAUCCAACAUGAUAUGUAACCUCCGAUUAAGGACUGGAUUAGUUUUAAUGUUUUUUUUAUUGAGUUUGUAUAAAGAUGUUGAUGAAUUUCUGAAUUUGUAUCAAGUUUAUGAUGAAUUUCUGGAUAUGUUCUUGAAUCAAUUAAAUUUCUAGAUGUUAUUUCGAGUUUAUGAUUUUCAGUUAAUGAUCUUUCUAAUGAA